This 1639-nucleotide long non-coding RNA is filed under the name Rattus norvegicus (Norway rat). Its description in RNAcentral is "long non-coding RNA NONRATT004361". Lineage: Eukaryota; Metazoa; Chordata; Mammalia; Rodentia; Muridae. The record is from RNAcentral.
UGGUUUUUCCCUUAAUUUAUUUUCUUGACCUUCCAACUGGAUUUGGAGAAAUCUAAUUUAUUGCCCACCAGUCCUCUGAAGACUGGUCACUGACAUCCUUUGAUUGAUGGCUAAAGGUGGACUUGCCCUUGCCCACUGCCCUCUCCCCUUCAAGGAGGAUGGCCUUCAGUAAACCAUGGUGGCCAGAGACACACCUCAUUGAAUUCUAGAAGAUACAGUCUCUCCCUGGCUUGGUAGAGAGGCUGCAGGCCAGAAUAAACACCGCAGAUGGAGCUGGAGCAGGGAGAGGGGCGCUUAGGUAGAGGGCAUGGCCAGUCUUGUACUCAACAGCCAGGCUCUUGAACUCCCUGGGUAGAACAUUGGUAGAUGAAACAGGUAGGAUAGGAUGAGACUGGGGCUCAAUGGGCUUCAGUCCACUGAGGUCCCUAAUGUGGAUCUCAGGGUGUUGCCAACUAUUUCUGUCUCCCCAGCUCUGCUCCAGUGACCUGAGCCAGUUUGGUCAAAUUGCCAUUUGGUCAAGCCAUUUCAUUGCCCAUAGAAUGACUGGCCAGCACACUUUGAAAAGCAGUGAUAGGUGUAGAAGGGCCAGGGCCUCUGUAUGAACUGUGCAGUGGACUGGGAUGACACUGGAACUGAGGGAAAGCACCACAUGUUAGCCCAGCUGUGAUGCUGCAGAAGUGCUGAUCCCACACCAUGCAUGGGUGCGUUUCCCUAGGGACGAUGGAUGGAAGAGACUUGGAUACCAGUGAUCUAGGCUUCAGUCUCUCCUGGGAUAGUGCCCCCAUCCUUACGAAGUAAUAGCCUUAAGCAAGUUUCCCAGAGUCCCACACCUGACUCCCUGAAUCUUUCUUGUUCCGGCCAUAGCACUGGGCCAAGAGCUUUGUUGCAUCAGCCUCCGACUCAGUCCUCAUGUCAUAGAGUAGCUGCUCCAACAGCAGCUGGUACCAGCCCUACCCAUCUAGGAGCUCAUUCCAUUCCUUUAACCUCGUGUGGAGAAAGAAACGAGUCUAGAGUGUUCAGAAAAAUUGAGUGUUCGGUAGGCCAGGCUCAGGACGGGAGAGAGACCUGUAUGUGACAUGCUUACACGCAUGUAAAGGUGUUCUAUGAUGUAUAGACAGGAAGGCAGUAGAGCCCAUUUAAUUGUGAGUGUAAAUAACAUGUACAGAGUGCUUGUAAAUCUCUAUAGUUAGUUGUUGCCCACAGAACAUUUUAAUUGGCUUUUUGUUGAAGUGUGGGAUUCAUCAUCUACAGGGAGAGAUGCAUUUUAUCAGUUUCUCAUAGUUUUCUACAGUUGCCAAAACAUUACCACAAACUUGAGAGCUUAAAGCAAAAGAAAUUAGCUGGGUGUGGUGGUGCAUGCCUAUAAUUCCAGCACAGGCUGAGGCAGAAAGAUCAAAAGUUCAAGGCCAGCCUGGGCUAAAAAAAAAAAAAAGCAAGACCUUGUCUCAAAAAGCAGAGCAUCCAGGCAUGGUGCUUGUCUAUAAUGCCAGCAGGAGUGUUGCAAGUUUGAGGACAGCCAAGGCUACAUUGUGAGACCCUGUUUGAAAACAACAAAAAUGUAGACUGUUACAUGCGCCCUCUGAGGCUUUGGUGGGAAGCCUAUUCCUGCCUCUUGUGGCUUGGUAUGGCUCUAACCUCU